ACUGCAAAUGGAGAAGUUUAAAUAUAAUUAAGACACAGAUACCAUAUAAUCUAAUUAACUUGGCAAGCACAUCUCUAUUGACAAAGUUUCAGACUAAAACAGCUAAAUAUUUGGCUCCCAGCUAUCUUUGAUGUGACACUUAACCGAUUUGCCAUCAGAUACGAGGUGGAGCAAUUGUGGCCGCUACCGCUCUUGGCAGACACCUACGCAACCCAACCCAACCAAAACAAAUCCAUGCAAUACAACCACAUCAGCCAGCUUUAAUUGGGCGACAAACUAGAGGCAAAAUGAUGCACCUAACGGCAUUAAAAUGCACUUAGCCCAGUAAGUGCAAGUGGGUGUGGAAGGGAGUGUGUGGGAGUGGCUGUGGAGGAGGCUCAACCUUUCGGCUGGCAUAUUUACAUGUGUCACGGAUAGGAGUGGUUGAGUUUCCGAGGAUGAGGAGGGGAUAGCCACAUCCACAUGCACAUUCACAUCCACAUCUUCAUCUGUAUUGACAAACCGGCUGAUGGGCCAGCCGAGAAGUCGAGUCUGGAGUGCAUGCGAGCAUUCGCAUUCACAUUCAGUGCCUUCCCUGCUCGUUGUUCGCAGCAUUUGCCCAACACAAUUAAAAAUGUGCAUAACUCGGAAUGGCAGGCUGUUUGGCGGGCAGCAGCGAUUUCGCUCAAGUUGUUUGCCGUCGCCGGCGACUAACGGUCUUAAGAGUGUCUAUCCGUCUGUGAAUCCGUCCGUCCAGUUCAGUCGCUCUGUCCGCCCGGCUGUCCCCCCGGUUAGCUGCCUUUGAAGUGCAUUACAAUGUAAAUGGAGGGGACAAUGUUGCCUACUUUCAACUCUUUCAUUUCCAGAACACACUGUGAUGCCAACUAAGCAGAAGUUAUGCAAAAGCAAUAUAAUUCAGAUCUGACCGGAAGAAAAACCAAACCGUCAUCACCGCGGAUUAAACCAACGGAAGCGUCAAACAACUUCCUCAAAAAAAACUAAUUCCCGACUGGUGGCUUAAGGAAGAAAAGGCUUGCAAAUUAAAGAGACAGUCUUCGCCAUAUAGUACAUAAUAGUACAGGUAUACAUGCAUGCACCCAAUGGCAUUGCAGCGAAUAUCUGAACGAACGAACCGAAAGUAAAUAUACAUUUUCUGUAUGGAUGCCCUAGCAAAGGCUAGAAUUGCACGCACAGCUCUUGUUGACUGUUUGAGUCAUCGGUACGCUCACGUAUUGAUGCAUUGAUAAGCGAAGUGAUCGCUUAUUCACUGAAGCCGACUCAUUGCUAACCUGUUUUCCCAUACCAAUCAUAUCAAUAGUUUUGUUAUUACUUAACAUCUGUUGGACGACAGUCAAUGGCAUAAAUAAAUCGAUUCACAUUUUCUUAUGAAUAAUGUA
Molecule: long non-coding RNA, 1376 nt
Organism: Drosophila yakuba
Lineage: Eukaryota; Metazoa; Arthropoda; Insecta; Diptera; Drosophilidae
Exons: 2
Source: RefSeq, a predicted model, not a curated record